Paramuricea clavata is the source of this 243-nucleotide non-coding RNA. The record is from the annotation of a GenBank genome assembly. Lineage: Eukaryota; Metazoa; Cnidaria; Anthozoa; Malacalcyonacea; Plexauridae.
UGUGCAACCUAGUUGUCAGAACCAGAUCGUUUGGUGGAGGAGGCAAAACACCUCCUGGCUUUAACAGUUCUCCACAGCCAUAGCAUUUUGACACUCGACUAUCAAGGUAUGGGAGUCUCGCGAAUGCGAAUGAACCGAAAUCUGGUUUCUGUCUUGCUGGACUAAACUGCUGGGCUUGCAAUUGGUAGGUUGGAAGAGGACUGGGUUGGGCUUGAUAUAUUAUUGGAUCAAUGUGUGUCGGUG